AUUACAUGUAGAGCUGUCUACUCAACUGCAGUUUCUGAAAUCCAUUGUUUCUUCUAAAAGGAAACUGUGCAAUAGCUUGUUAGCAGUGACCAUCUUGCAGCAGCUAUGCAACUUUGAAAAGUUUUGCUGGUCCCCGCUCCGGGGCCACAGUGACUCUGUCCUAGCAGGUGUCUUUUGUCUUUCUGUAAUUACUUCAUUGUGCUUUGCAUUUCCAGGAGGUUUCCCUAUGUUUGGGUAAAAUGUUUAGCAAGUUGUAAAACAUCAGACCUUCUGAAAAGGGUGAAAUAAACACUUCUGCAGUGGGACUUGGAGUAAUCUGAGGGACAUUUUAUAUACUUUUAAAAAUCAGAAUUUAAUUGGGAUGCCAGAUUUCUAGCAACUUGCAUCUUUAGUUUUCCAGAUAAUCUGGAAGUUAGCAUUUGAUAAAUGAUUUUUUAAGCAAAUAUAAAGAUUUUUGUUAAUUUAUAAUUUAUUAAUGUGUUGUUACUGUAAUUGAAAAUGUUGUGGAUACUUUUAAAUUCAGUCUUUGUAGAAAGAACUGUAUUAAGCAAAAUUAUGUGAAUAAAUAUUCCCCAAAAAUACAUCUAAUGGUUAAGAAUACUGGAAGAGAGCUAUCAGGGCUGCAACAGUGAAUGUCUUUUUAAAUAACUAUCAAAAUGUCAAGAAGUAGAGUUCACCUUUAGUCUCUGGGGGGGACACAGCCCUGCUGUCCUGCUGUGCUGCGCUGUGCUGCACUGCCCUGCCCUGGGUGUGGAAGGGGAGUCUCUGGUGCUGCUCUGCCGCUCUUCACUCUGACUGUGCCCAGCUCUGUUGCUUGUACCUCUCCCUGCUCACAGGGCAUGAGCACCUGCUGCUAUGGUGCUCACAAGGGCAUGGGCAGGAGCACCUGCUGCUAUGGUGGGGUCGGGUGGGGACUGUCCUGAUAUGGGAAGAACUUGCCUGCUUUCCUAUGGCUGUAGACUACAUAGUACCUCUGCAGUUCCACUGUGAUCGCCUGUUAGGGCCAGUGGUCUGAUCCUGUGUCACAGCUGCCAGCACAGCUCUGUAGGUGUCCUUCAGCCAGGGCUAAGGAGGUUACUCUUCCUUCGAGGGAAAUAGGCUUUCUCUAGGUUUUUGUUUGGUUUUAUGAAAUCGGAAUCCAUUUUACUUGUUCUUUCAGUUCGUAAGCUUUGCUCUCCCCCUGACUUUCCCCAGGGAUGAGCUCUUAGAAUGUGAAUACCCACUUUGCCCUUUCCGCUGGUGUAUUGUCUGGAAAGACUCACUUCUGCUGCCUUCUCUUCUUGGAGUGCAGCUGUGCUAAUUAAUGUUUAGACUCCCUGGGAAGAUGACCUGCUAAGCUCAACUUGUUGGUGUCUCAGCCUGAGUUCCCCCUUCUGUCACACUGUCCUCCAGCAGUCUUCUGUGCUGCCUCCAAGCUCCUGUGGUGUGCGAGAGCUCACGGCUGCGUGGCACGGCCGUGGACACUUGACUGUGCUGAUGCUUCUCUGGACAGUGGUUCCUGAAGUCCACUCAGACAGCCUGGUUGGUUUUUGUUUUUAUUUGGUCAGAUUUUAUAAAGUUGACAUUUUGACUUUAAAUUUUAUCUGUACAAUUACCUAAAAAGAAUAAAUUAGAAAUAGAAGAAAAGAGAGAAACUUAGAUGUUCCAGUUUCUAUUCACAGUUACUAUUCUGGGAAUGUUCUACUAUAAGUGAUACUUUAUAUAAUAUUGCUUAUAAUACUUAACAGGCUGUAUGCAGACAUUGAGUAGCAUCCAUCAUAAAGUUAUAGAAUAUUCAGCUGAAACUACUGAAUAUGGAGACAAAAUAAAAAUU
This 1813-nucleotide long non-coding RNA is filed under the name Mus musculus (house mouse). RNAcentral's name for it is "long non-coding RNA chr6:54889153-54890966". The record is from RNAcentral. Lineage: Eukaryota; Metazoa; Chordata; Mammalia; Rodentia; Muridae.